This 819-nucleotide long non-coding RNA is filed under the name Mytilus galloprovincialis (Mediterranean mussel). The record is from RNAcentral. Lineage: Eukaryota; Metazoa; Mollusca; Bivalvia; Mytilida; Mytilidae.
GGGGUGCUCUCUUUGACAGCCGCGUUCAUGUCUAUAAAAAGAAUCGUUCUUUCAAAACCAGGAAGAACAUUCAUACCAUCGUAUUUUGAAAUAAUUAUCAGUUUUUUUGUUAGUAUAGUAAUGAGGUUUAGUGAGGUAAGCAUGAUAAGUGUCCAAUCUAGUUUUAAGAAAUUUUUUGCUUUGAUUUUAUUAGAAAAUUGACUGGCGGAGGUUGUUUUUUUCAUGCACGGUCUGUUUUUGCUAUUGUUGAAGAAUGAUGAAGUCAUACAAAAAAAAACCAGUUACAUUCAUUUGGACUUUUUUACUAGAAAUUAUAAGUAUCUUUGAAUGUUAUUUAUGAACAGGUAUAAAAUGUGUUAAGCAUUGUGAAAGUUUCUUGUGCGUGUCUAGGUUGUUUUUUUGUCAAGGAGAAACCCACUGGCAAAACAACAAUCAAUUAUGGAAAUGUAAAAAGUAUAUGCAUAUUUUUAUUUCAUAUUUUAUAACGCUAUGCGGUGCAUUUGUUAUUGUAUCAUCCAAAAAAAUAAUAGUCAUCAGGACAUUAGGAAAGCAUAAAAUAGAUAAAAGAUGUGGUGUGAUUGCCAAUGAGACAACUCUCCAUAAGAGACCAAAAAUAACAAAGAAAUUAACAGUUAUAGGUCACCGUACGUCCUUCAGCAAUGAGCAAAGCCCAUACCGCAUAGUCAUCUAUAAAAGGCCCCAAAAUGACAAUGUAAAACAUUUCAAACGAGAAAACUAACGACCUGAUUUAUGUAAAAAUUGAACAAAAAACAAAUAUGCAACGACAACCCCUGAAUUACAGGCCGACAUGGGACAGGC